This 274-nucleotide ribosomal RNA is filed under the name uncultured bacterium. Its description in RNAcentral is "partial 16S ribosomal RNA". It matches the Rfam family "Bacterial small subunit ribosomal RNA", at positions 523 to 796 of the family's 1533-position model. The record is from RNAcentral.
AUACGGAGGGUGCAAGCGUUAAUCGGAAUUACUGGGCGUAAAGCGUGCGUAGGUGGUUUGUUAAGUCAGAUGUGAAAGCCCCGGGCUCAACCUGGGAACUGCAUUUGAAACUGGCAUACUAGAGUAUAGGAGAGGAAAGUGGAAUUUCAGGUGUAGCGGUGAAAUGCGUAGAUAUCUGAAGGAACAUCAAUGGCGAAGGCAGCUUUCUGGACUAAUACUGACACUGAGGUACGAGAGCGUGGGUAGCAAACAGGAUUAGAAACCCUAGUAGUCC